UACGUAGGGUGCAAGCGUUAUCCGGAAUUAUUGGGCGUAAAGAGCUCGUAGGCGGUUUGUCGCGUCUGCUGUGAAAACUGGAGGCUCAACCUCCAGCCUGCAGUGGGUACGGGCAGACUAGAGUGCGGUAGGGGAGAUUGGAAUUCCUGGUGUAGCGGUGGAAUGCGCAGAUAUCAGGAGGAACACCAAUGGCGAAGGCAGAUCUCUGGGCCGUAACUGACGCUGAGGAGUGAAAGCAUGGGGAGCGAACAGG
RNAcentral lists this ribosomal RNA (253 nucleotides) under uncultured bacterium. RNAcentral describes it as "partial 16S ribosomal RNA". It matches the Rfam family "Bacterial small subunit ribosomal RNA", at positions 524 to 776 of the family's 1533-position model. The record is from RNAcentral.